AGUGAACGCUGGCGGUAGGCCUAACACAUGCAAGUCGAACGGCAGCACAGUAAGAGCUUGCUCUUACGGGUGGCGAGUGGCGGACGGGUGAGGAAUACAUCGGAAUCUACUUUUUCGUGGGGGAUAACGUAGGGAAACUUACGCUAAUACCGCAUACGACCUACGGGUGAAAGCAGGGGAUCUUCGGACCUUGCGCGAUUGAAUGAGCCGAUGUCGGAUUAGCUAGUUGGCGGGGUAAAGGCCCACCAAGGCGACGAUCCGUAGCUGGUCUGAGAGGAUGAUCAGCCACACUGGAACUGGAACACGGUCCAGACUCCUACGGGAGGCAGCAGUGGGGAAUAUUGGACAAAGGGCGCAAGCCUGAUCCAGCCAUACCGCGUGGGUGAAGAAGGCCUUCGGGUUGUAAAGCCCUUUUGUUGGGAAAGAAAAGCAGCAGGUUAAUACCCCGCUGUUCUGACGGUACCCAAAGAAUAAGCACCGGCUAACUUCGUG
RNAcentral lists this ribosomal RNA (492 nucleotides) under uncultured bacterium. RNAcentral describes it as "partial 16S ribosomal RNA". It matches the Rfam family "Bacterial small subunit ribosomal RNA", at positions 29 to 507 of the family's 1533-position model. The record is from RNAcentral.